Molecule: unclassified non-coding RNA, 208 nt
Filed under: Hevea brasiliensis (rubber tree)
Lineage: Eukaryota; Viridiplantae; Streptophyta; Magnoliopsida; Malpighiales; Euphorbiaceae
Source: RNAcentral
GUCAUCAACAUGCUAUAAAUUAAUGUCAUCCUGGACCUGAUUAUGCUAUUUUACAUUUCCUAACAUUCUUUGUUAUGUAGGUUCUGGAUCAUAAUUAUCAUAUAUUUUUUUUAAAGUUUGUUACAAUGAUGACAAAGUUCUAUUUCAUUCUGUAUGAGAAGCUGCAUAUUUGAUUGGAAGUUCAAUCUGAUUAAAUAUAUCAUCAACU